This 393-nucleotide ribosomal RNA is filed under the name uncultured bacterium. RNAcentral's name for it is "partial 16S ribosomal RNA". It matches the Rfam family "Bacterial small subunit ribosomal RNA", at positions 523 to 918 of the family's 1533-position model. The record is from RNAcentral.
AUACGGAGGAUGCGAGCGUUAUCCGGAUUUAUUGGGUUUAAAGGGAGCGUAGGUGGGAUAUUAAGUCAGCUGUGAAAGUUUGGGGCUCAACCUUAAAAUUGCAGUUGAUACUGGUUACCUUGAGUACGGUACAGGUGGGCGGAAUUCGUGGUGUAGCGGUGAAAUGCUUAGAUAUCACGAAGAACUCCGAUCGCGAAGGCAGCUCACCGGGCCGGAACUGACACUGAUGCUCGAAAGUGCGGGUAUCAAACAGGAUUAGAUACCCUGGUAGUCCGCACAGUAAACGAUGAAUACACGCUGUUUGCGAUACACAGUAAGCGGCCAAGCGAAAGCGUUAAGUAUUCCACCUGGGGAGUACGCCGGCAACGGUGAAACUCAAAGGAAUUGGCGGGG